UUAGAAGAGUUAAAUGCUUGUCAAUUGGACCCCAAACAGAUGGCUGCUUGUGCAUUUGAUGGAGCUGCAAACUUUUCUGGAAGACAAGGAGGAGUACAAGCUUUGUUCGGAGAAAAAAGUGUAACACUAAUCUCUCCUAUACGCACUGCAGAGGCCAUCUACUCCAACUAGCACUAGUACGAGCUGCAGACUCUUCAAAAGACAUUAAAAAGCUAUAAAUUUAAUCACAGGUUUCAGAGUAGCAGCCGUGUUAGUCUGUA
This is a long non-coding RNA of Chelonia mydas (Green sea turtle), 260 nucleotides long. RefSeq lists it as uncharacterized. NCBI's taxonomy places the organism in Eukaryota, Metazoa, Chordata, Testudines, Cheloniidae. The record is from RefSeq and is a predicted model, not a curated record. The transcript is spliced from 3 exons.